RNAcentral lists this microRNA precursor (62 nucleotides) under Macaca mulatta (Rhesus monkey). Its description in RNAcentral is "Mml-Mir-17-P4d_pre stem-loop". It matches the Rfam family "mir-17 microRNA precursor family", at positions 11 to 80 of the family's 80-position model. Rfam says of the family: This family represents the microRNA (miRNA) precursor mir-17, family, which includes mir-20, mir-91, and mir-103. miRNAs are transcribed as ~70nt precursors (modelled here) and subsequently processed by the Dicer enzyme to give a ~22nt product. In this case the mature sequence comes from the 3' arm of the precursor. The record is from RNAcentral. Lineage: Eukaryota; Metazoa; Chordata; Mammalia; Primates; Cercopithecidae.
CAAAGUGCUGUUCGUGCAGGUAGUGUGAUUAACCGACCUACUGCUGAGCUAGCACUUCCCGA